Molecule: ribosomal RNA, 300 nt
Filed under: Salmonella enterica subsp. enterica serovar Senftenberg
Lineage: Bacteria; Pseudomonadati; Pseudomonadota; Gammaproteobacteria; Enterobacterales; Enterobacteriaceae
Also listed under: 4 other names
Description: partial 23S ribosomal RNA
Rfam family: Bacterial large subunit ribosomal RNA
Source: RNAcentral
CAUCCUCCAAGGCUAAAUACUCCUGACUGACCGAUAGUGAACCAGUACCGUGAGGGAAAGGCGAAAAGAACCCCGGCGAGGGGAGUGAAAAAGAACCUGAAACCGUGUACGUACAAGCAGUGGGAGCCCCACCACUAAGCCAGUGGUGAACUCCACAUACGCAUCCUUUGCUGAGGAUACGGUUAACGGAGCGAAAGCGACGUUCAACCUCAAAAGAAGCAGAGGGGGCUUAGUGGUGGGGUGACUGCGUACCUUUUGUAUAAUGGGUCAGCGACUUAUAUUCUGUAGCAAGGUUAACCG